Linepithema humile (Argentine ant) is the source of this 505-nucleotide long non-coding RNA. RefSeq lists it as uncharacterized. Lineage: Eukaryota; Metazoa; Arthropoda; Insecta; Hymenoptera; Formicidae. The record is from RefSeq and is a predicted model, not a curated record.
CCGCAGACUUGGCAUUGUUCUGAUGUCGCGUGUACAAGAAAGACGUACAGACGGAUGAAUCUCAAUUUGGCAAUUGAGAAAAUUGAUUAAAAAGACUAAUAAAAAAAACGAAGUGACUUGAUUUCAACUUGAAUUAACUUUUUUCUGUGAAAGAAGGAAUUAAACAAUAUUAUACAAGAUGAGGCAAACAUUGUGGACCGUCAUCUGUUUAAUGUUAAUCUUUGACAACGCUGCGAUAUCGUUCUCCAGCAAGUUCACCAAACUUGUAACUUCGAAACAAGAAAACAAAGACUAUGUAUUUUCUCCGUACUCUAGACUAUUUGUAGACAGAGAUUUAUGGAAUCAAAACAGGAUUAGCAUUCAACGGAACAAAAGUUAUUUUAAAUUUUUUCAACAUAAGACUUUAUUUUAAAUAAUAUAAAGAAACUGUUAUAGUUAUUCUUACAAUUAUGAUUACACAGAAAAGUGUACUCUUGAUAAUAAAAGCUUCUAUUGUGAAAAGUUA